RNAcentral lists this long non-coding RNA (518 nucleotides) under Gallus gallus (chicken). RNAcentral describes it as "lncRNA (ENSGALG00010024076.1)". Lineage: Eukaryota; Metazoa; Chordata; Aves; Galliformes; Phasianidae. The record is from RNAcentral.
AGAGAGUUAAAUUUCCUGCCCAGCUUUCACAUGAGUGCUCAAAAUAGGUUAAUGAGGCUGCAUUUGAGAUAAGAUACUAAGGUGUAGGGGAUCUAUGCAACUUGGAUGAAAGAGGGAAAGGCCUUUGGAAGGGAGGUUCAUUUCAUAGUAGAGCAUGUGCACAGAUUCUCCAAGUCACGUUAAGACAGUGAAGAGAAACAGGCAGAGGGGAGCAUGCACCCAAAAUUUGCUUCCAAUCAAUUCAAAUGGUGUAUAACAGCUCUGGGUAUCUUGUCAGCCAGAAAAAGGUGAAAAAAGGAAACAAUGAACUCUCCCUCCACAUCUGAACACCAUACAUAGACUAAGACAUUCCUAUUUCUGUGGGAGCAAUGCACCACUUGCUCUCCCUUUCACAAAUGUUGGUAGAUAGUGUUAUCAAAACAAGUUGGGUUUUUUUGUUUGGGUUUUUUGUACAUAUUUCAAUUAGAAUUGUGAGCCUUGAUUGCUGUGAAUUAUAACUUAAGAGUACUGAAAAAGGG